Long non-coding RNA from Dalotia coriaria, 399 nucleotides. RefSeq lists it as uncharacterized. The transcript is spliced from 2 exons. The record is from RefSeq and is a predicted model, not a curated record. Lineage: Eukaryota; Metazoa; Arthropoda; Insecta; Coleoptera; Staphylinidae.
CUUAGCUUAGUAACAUAAAAAAAUUCAGCAGUGAUUUACAAAUCAUGAUAUAUCAUUACAUUCCGCAUGCCAGAGACAUUUUAAAUGACAUGUAAUUACAUAGACCUGUAUUUAAACGCAAAAAAGCGCAAUGUACUUUAACAUUACAUCAAACACAGACUUUGAUUCAGUAUGUUCCAUUUGUUUGUUAGGAGUACAUUCUCACCGAAAGUUAUGAUUCCUUCAGCGGAUAUCAACAAGUACACCAUUAGACAGGCCACAAAUGAAUCACAAAUGAGAAAUGGACGCAAAAUCAGUUCCAGUUCUUGUUCUAGCAAGCAAUGGCCUAAAAUUAACUAAAAUUUGUUAAUUUCUUAUUUUCUUUUGUACCUGCAAACAAUAAACAUACUAAAAUGAAAA